AUACGUAGGGGGCGAGCGUUGCUCGGAUUUACUGGGCGUAAAGGGGGCGUAGGCGGCCCUGCAAGUCGGCGGUGAAAUCCCUCGGCUCAACCGAGGAAUUGCCUCCGAAACUGCAGGGCUUGAGGGCAGGAGAGGGGGGCGGAAUUCCCGGUGUAGCGGUGAAAUGCGUAGAUCUCGGGAGGAACACCGGAGGCGAAGGCGGCUCCCUGGACUGUCCCUGACGCUGAGGCCCGAAAGCCAGGGGAGCAAACAGGAUUAGAAACCCUAGUAGUCC
RNAcentral lists this ribosomal RNA (274 nucleotides) under uncultured bacterium. Its description in RNAcentral is "partial 16S ribosomal RNA". It matches the Rfam family "Bacterial small subunit ribosomal RNA", at positions 523 to 796 of the family's 1533-position model. The record is from RNAcentral.